This 21-nucleotide microRNA is filed under the name Marchantia polymorpha subsp. ruderalis. The record is from RNAcentral. Lineage: Eukaryota; Viridiplantae; Streptophyta; Marchantiopsida; Marchantiales; Marchantiaceae.
AUUUAGAUGUGUGUUUCAGGC